This is a long non-coding RNA of Pygocentrus nattereri (red-bellied piranha), 928 nucleotides long. RefSeq lists it as uncharacterized. NCBI's taxonomy places the organism in Eukaryota, Metazoa, Chordata, Actinopteri, Characiformes, Serrasalmidae. The transcript is spliced from 2 exons. The record is from RefSeq and is a predicted model, not a curated record.
UCUAGCUACAAAUAUAUGCACAUUUGCCACACAUUCAUACGCAUUCCAUACAUUCACCAUGAUGUCGUCUUCUUCUUUUCUGUCCUUCACUAACGAUGAUGCAUCUACGCGUUGCUAUAGCAUGUGGAUCCGCUUUUCCAGGCGAAAUCUGAGCAUCCUUUGCAGCCAGAGGAGUCAAAUACAGUGUUUUUUUUUCCAUUUUAUCUUCACGUCACAUACGAAGGCACACGCACACAUACACACAUACACCUUACAAGGCAAACCUGCAGGAAUCCAGAGCACUCACCACGUUCCUAUGCAUGCUAAUGCACAACAGAGAGAGAGCGAGAGAGAGAGAGAGAUGGAGGGAUGAAGAGGCUGUACCUUUGUUGUAUCAAGCUAAUAGAAGCCCUAUCCUCCAGAAGCCACACAAAGAACAAGGGAAUGCUGGGAAAAAAGAAAAAUAAUCCAGCAUCCUCCCAGGAUUCGCCCCAAUAUCUGCCAUCCAUAAUAAAGCUCACAGAAGCAUCGCAACGUAAAGCUACCACUGCCCUCUCUCUCUUGCUCUCUCGCUCUCUCUCUCUUUCUCUUCUGUCUCUCUCUCCAUCCUUCCCUACCCCCACCUUUUGCCUCUCUCUCUGUCUCUCUCUAUAUCUCUCUCGCUCUCUCUCUCUCUCACUUUCACUGCGUUCCCUGUACACACGGAUGCAUGGGUAACAUACGGCUGUCGCAAAACCUGCAGAAGAGACAAGGAAAGAGGAGAGCAUAUAGAUCCUGGGUAGCUUCGCAUUUCUUCCGUUCUUGACGUUCUCCGUCCUGUCCUCCGGCUCUCCUGGCUGGGGGAAAAGGAGAAAAGGAGUCGGGGGGUUCGGAUGGACGGGACAGGAGGCAGAGAGGUAGGACGACAGAAAGGUCACGCAUGCAGAAAAGGAGAAAAAGACAAGAAUGG